GAUGAAGAACGCAGCGAAAUGCGAUAAGUAAUGUGAAUUGCAGAAUUCAGUGAAUCAUCGAAUCUUUGAACGCACAUUGCGCCCGCUAGUAUUCUGGCGGGCAUGCCUGUUCGAGCGUCAUUUCAACCAUCAAGCCUCAGGCUUGUGUUGGAGCCCUGCGGCGGCCGCAGCCUCCCAAAAACAGUGGCGGGCUCGCUAUCACACCGAGUGCAGUAGUUUACUCUUCGCUCAGGGCGUGUGGCGGGUGCUAGCCGUGAAACCCCCUACUUCUCAAGGUUGACCUCGGAUCAGGUAGGAAUACCCGCUGAACUUAAGCAUAUCAAUAAGCGGAGGA
RNAcentral lists this unclassified non-coding RNA (334 nucleotides) under soil metagenome. RNAcentral's name for it is "partial contains 5.8S ribosomal RNA, internal transcribed spacer 2, and large subunit ribosomal RNA". The stretch from base 1 to 120 matches the Rfam family "5.8S ribosomal RNA", at positions 35 to 154 of the family's 154-position model. The record is from RNAcentral.